This 200-nucleotide ribosomal RNA is filed under the name uncultured bacterium. RNAcentral describes it as "partial 16S ribosomal RNA". It matches the Rfam family "Bacterial small subunit ribosomal RNA", at positions 1301 to 1500 of the family's 1533-position model. The record is from RNAcentral.
UAGUCUGCAACUCGACUACAUGAAGCUGGAAUCGCUAGUAAUCGCGGAUCAGAAUGCCGCGGUGAAUACGUUCCCGGGUCUUGUACACGCCGCCCGUCACACCAUGGGAGUCGGAAAUGCCCGAAGUCUGUGACCGAACCGAAAGGAAGGAGCAGCCGAAGGCAGGUCGGAUGACUGGGGUGAAGUCGUAACAAGGUAAC